Molecule: ribosomal RNA, 481 nt
Filed under: uncultured bacterium
Lineage: Bacteria
Description: partial 16S ribosomal RNA
Rfam family: Bacterial small subunit ribosomal RNA
Source: RNAcentral
GGUGAACGCUGGCGGCGUGCCUAACACAUGCAAGUCGAGCGAAGCGCUUAAAUUAGAUUUCUUCGGAAUGACGAUUUUUGUGACUGAGCGGCGGACGGGUGAGUAACGCGUGGGUAACCUGCCUCAUACAGGGGGAUAACAGUUAGAAAUGACUGCUAAUACCGCAUAAGACCCCAGCUUCGCAUGAAGCGGUGGUAAAAACUCCGGUGGUAUGAGAUGGACCCGCGUCUGAUUAGCUAGUUGGUAAGGUAACGGCUUACCAAGGCGACGAUCAGUAGCCGACCUGAGAGGGUGACCGGCCACAUUGGGACUGAGACACGGCCCAGACUCCUACGGGAGGCAGCAGUGGGGAAUAUUGCACAAUGGGGGAAACCCUGAUGCAGCGACGCCGCGUGAAGGAUGAAGUAUUUCGGUAUGUAAACUUCUAUCAGCAGGGAAGAAAGUGACGGUACCUGACUAAGAAGCCCCGGCUAACUACGUG